UACAGAGGGUGCGAGCGUUAAUCGGAAUUACUGGGCGUAAAGCGUGCGUAGACGGUUAUUUAAGUCGGGUGUGAAAGCCCCGGGCUCAACCUGGGAAUUGCAUUCGAGACUGAAUAGCUAGGGUGCGGAAGAGGGAAGCGGAAUUUCCGGUGUAGCGGUGAAAUGCGUAGAUAUCGGAAGGAACACCCGUGGCGCAAGCGGCCACCUGGCUGCCAACUGACGCUGAGGCACGAGAGCGUGGGGAGCGAACCGG
This 253-nucleotide ribosomal RNA is filed under the name uncultured bacterium. RNAcentral's name for it is "partial 16S ribosomal RNA". It matches the Rfam family "Bacterial small subunit ribosomal RNA", at positions 524 to 776 of the family's 1533-position model. The record is from RNAcentral.